This 554-nucleotide ribosomal RNA is filed under the name uncultured bacterium. RNAcentral's name for it is "partial 16S ribosomal RNA". It matches the Rfam family "Bacterial small subunit ribosomal RNA", at positions 355 to 900 of the family's 1533-position model. The record is from RNAcentral.
UAGGGAAUCUUCCACAAUGGACGCAAGUCUGAUGGAGCAACGCCGCGUGAGUGAAGAAGGUUUUCGGAUCGUAAAGCUCUGUUGUUGGUGAAGAAGGAUAGAGGUAGUAACUGGCCUUUAUUUGACGGUAAUCAACCAGAAAGUCACGGCUAACUACGUGCCAGCAGCCGCGGUAAUACGUAGGUGGCAAGCGUUGUCCGGAUUUAUUGGGCGUAAAGCGAGCGCAGGCGGAAGAAUAAGUCUGAUGUGAAAGCCCUCGGCUUAACCGAGGAAUUGCAUCGGAAACUGUUUUCUUGAGUGCAGAAGAGGAGAGUGGAACUCCAUGUGUAGCGGUGGAAUGCGUAGAUAUAUGGAAGAACACCAGUGGCGAAGGCGGCUCUCUGGUCUGCAACUGACGCUGAGGCUCGAAAGCAUGGGUAGCGAACAGGAUUAGAUACCCUGGUAGUCCAUGCCGUAAACGAUGAGUGCUAAGUGUUGGGAGGUUUUCCGCCUCUCAGUGCUGCAGCUAACGCAUUAAGCACUCCGCCUGGGGAGUACGACCGCAAGGUUGAAAC